Long non-coding RNA from Symphalangus syndactylus (siamang), 688 nucleotides. RefSeq lists it as uncharacterized. The record is from RefSeq and is a predicted model, not a curated record. Lineage: Eukaryota; Metazoa; Chordata; Mammalia; Primates; Hylobatidae.
GCUACCCACCGGGCCAACCGUCACCGAGGUUCUGACAGGAGCAGUGAGCCGACAGUGAAGGCGAAGCCACGCCCCCUGAUUGGCCAGCUUCUCCGCCUGCUGCAUCCUGGGAGUUGUAGUCCCAGAGUAGAGCCAGAGAGAAAUUUGUCCUGGGCCUAAUAUUCAUGAAGGCUUUCCAGUUCAGACUCGAUAUUAUUGCCAAGUCCGUGUGUUUGGGAGAAAUCAGAAGCCAACACACUAGAAAAGUUGCAGGAGAUUCCUAGGGGAACCCACAAAGUCAGUUCCAUGCCAGAAAGCUACUCCUCCAGAUGAAUCCAGUGCAUCGGAUGGGCUCAGAUGCACAGGUGGCACAGGCAGACCUCUACUGAGAAGAACAACAGUGGAAGGCAGGUGAAACUCACAUUUUGGAGUCUGAGAGCCAUGUGGGCCCACCCCAGUUACGUCUACCCCUGGUCGGUGACCAGAGAAUCCUUUAGCAGCAACAGCAGGCAUGUUUAUUUCACUGGUAUGUAUAAAGCGACUGAUUGAAGACAAGCUGUAUGCCCAACAACUUGGAACUGGUUAAGUGAUUUUUGGUUCAGCCACACAGUGGAAUAUCAUGCAGCCAUUAAGAAUAAAUCAAAAAUCCUAUACUUUCCAUAUUCAACUUUAGACUGCAAACAACUGAACAAACACCUUCAUAAUUAGG